GUCUAAGGGUUCUGUUUCUUAAUAUUUUUUUCUACUAGGGUGCUGUUACAUAUUUUUUUUGCUUUUGGAUCCAAUCCAAUACAGUAUCUGUCUGUUGCAUCUAAUACAGUAUCUGUCUGUUGCAUCUCCUGUUUUUACCAGAAUACCUGUAUGUAUAUUGGUAGCAGUAGCAGAUGUCAUCUAAAAGACUUAUGGAAUACAUCAAAUAGAGUUCCAAUGGAAUUAAUUUUGAAAUCUGUAAAUCUAGUAGGAAAGUGAGAAUUUGUGUGUUAUGCUUCAGGAACAU
Molecule: unclassified non-coding RNA, 286 nt
Filed under: Hevea brasiliensis (rubber tree)
Lineage: Eukaryota; Viridiplantae; Streptophyta; Magnoliopsida; Malpighiales; Euphorbiaceae
Source: RNAcentral